This 828-nucleotide ribosomal RNA is filed under the name uncultured archaeon. RNAcentral describes it as "bacterial SSU rRNA". It matches the Rfam family "Archaeal small subunit ribosomal RNA", at positions 22 to 855 of the family's 1478-position model. The record is from RNAcentral.
GGCUACUGCUAUCGGGAUUCGAUUAAGCCAUGCGAGUCGAGGGAAUUCAUAUUCCCGGCUGACGGCUCAGUAACACGUGGAUAACCUGCCCUCAGGUGGGGGAUAAUCUCGGGAAACUGAGGAUAAUACCCCAUAAGCAUCCUUUGCUGGAAUGCUUGGAUGUUCAAAGCUCAAGCGCCUGAGGAUGGGUCUGCGACCUAUCAGGUCGUAGUGGGUGUAACGGACCCACUAGCCUACGACGGGUACGGGCCUUGGAAGAGGUAGCCCGGAGAUGGACUCUGAGACACGAGUCCAGGCCCUACGGGGCGCAGCAGGCGCGAAAACUUCGCAAUGCGGGAAACCGUGACGAGGGAAUCCCGAGUGCUCAUACAAUGUAUGGGCUUUUAUUAUGUGUAAAAAGCAUGAGGAAUAAGGGCUGGGUAAGACCGGUGCCAGCCGCCGCGGUAAUACCGGCAGCUCUAGUGGUAGCCACUUUUAUUGGGCCUAAAGCGUCCGUAGCCGGUCAGGUAAAUCCUUGGGUAAAUCGUACAGCUUAACUGUACGGAUUCCGUGGAGACUGCCUGACUUGGGACCGGGAGAGGUUGGAGGUACUCCUGGGGUAGGGGUGAAAUCCUGUAAUCCUAGGUGGACCACCGGUGGCGAAGGCGUCCAACCAGAACGGCUCCGACGGUGAGGGACGAAGGCUAGGGGCGCAAACCGGAUUAGAUACCCGGGUAGUCCUAGCUGUAAACGCUGCAGACUUGGUGUUGGAGAUCCUACGAGGGUGUCCAGUGCCGGAGAGAAGUCGUUAAGUUUGCCGCCUGGGAAGUAUGGCCGCAAGGCUGAAAC